Molecule: unclassified non-coding RNA, 375 nt
Filed under: fungal sp.
Lineage: Eukaryota; Fungi
Description: partial internal transcribed spacer region
Rfam family: Eukaryotic small subunit ribosomal RNA (bases 1-46)
Source: RNAcentral
AAGUCGUAACAAGGUUUCCGUAGGUGAACCUGCGGAAGGAUCAUUAACACAAAGCAAGUUAGCACCUUCAUUCACGUGAAGUGCUUUCUUCUUAACCCCCCUUUUGUGCGAACUUGUUCGUGUUUCUUUCGUUCAUUCGUGAGUGACUGAAGCCCUGUCUAAAUGGAGAGAGAGAGAGAGGUGAGAACGGUGUGUGGCUGCGUGCCUCCGCCUAUUAGUCUCGCCCCCCCUCCUCUCUUCUCCAUUUGUUUUCAACCUUUUAUUAACCCCUUGAACUGUUUUUGACUGAACUUGUGUCCUUCCUUCCUUUUCGAAGGAGGAAUUACACACACAUCCAACGCUGAACAACUCUUAGCAACGGAUAUCUUGGCUCUC